AUUUGUUUUUAAAGCUUUUUUUCACUUGCCGCGGCCAGUUUAAAGAAUUUUUGUGUGAAAUACAAGUCUGAUCGCGAUAUUGAAGUGUGCAUCUUGGUGUGCAAAAUCGAUUUUCCAAUCAGAUUUACCCCGGAGACGUCCCACGUUGUGCCAAUGGCAAAACUGUUUCGCUGCAAGCUGCAAUGGGUGAGAAUGUUUCGUCGGAUCUGAGCGGCUCACCAUGG
Long non-coding RNA from Culex quinquefasciatus (southern house mosquito), 224 nucleotides. RefSeq lists it as uncharacterized. The transcript has 2 exons. The record is from RefSeq and is a predicted model, not a curated record. Lineage: Eukaryota; Metazoa; Arthropoda; Insecta; Diptera; Culicidae.